AAUCGUCGGAGGCAUUCGUAUUCAUAUUUAAUUGUGCUGAGAUUUGAAAUUAAAUACCUCGAGAAAUCGUCUACAUUGCAUGUACGUUAAAAUGGAAAUUAAUUAGUGAUCGAUGUUUUCUCAUUGUUUCUUCCUAGAAUUCGUUGUUUAUUUUUCGUAUUCUCUGCUAUCGAGUUAAUAGAUGUUGAUAGAGCCAUCGUACGGUCAAGAAUUAUCGCGUGUUCAUGACCGUCGUGAUCGAUAAAAAAGUCGACGAUAAAAAGCAAAUCGUGAAUUCACCACGAAAGUGUUUUGCGGAAGUCCUGAAGAAAUGCGUGCAAUCAGAAGUUAAUUGGAAACCAUCACCUGUCACUUUAAUGACCUCGUGUCUUCGCCAGCCAAAGUCUGCGAACCUCAAAAGCUUAUGAAGUUACCAAAGCGAAGAGAAAAUACAAAUCGCCGUAAUUAGUCGCGGUAAUUAGCUAAGCUCAGAGGCUAUGGCGGUCAGCAAAUGAAAAUAAAUGGAUCCAAAACAAGCAGAAGUCCGGCUGGUUUUACGUCCGAAUAAGGACAACGGAAAUUCCGCACAAAGGAAUUCUACCUGGCUUGGAAUUUCGAGAGGGCGUAGUAGAACCGUACAAUAUGAAACCAGGUUCGAACAGUUUUAAUAAUACUCUACCAUCGUAUUGUUUCGAUUUACAAACGAAGAUCGUUCCGGACAACGUGCGAAUGAAUUUAAUCGGCAUAAUUAAGCUUAUAAACUUGUUUACGACACCGGGAUAAACUUUCAGAUAUUUAUCUACUGGAAAGUCUACAAUCUUUACAUACAGACGUAAACUAUAAAUAAACCUCAAGUACAUAUAAUAAAUAUAAAAUGAAAUCAAAAUGACUUGAGUUACUAGAAAUGAAAAGUAAAUAGAAUCCUCCUUUUGUCUUCAAUUUUAA
Vespula vulgaris is the source of this 924-nucleotide long non-coding RNA. RefSeq lists it as uncharacterized. NCBI's taxonomy places the organism in Eukaryota, Metazoa, Arthropoda, Insecta, Hymenoptera, Vespidae. The transcript is spliced from 2 exons. The record is from RefSeq and is a predicted model, not a curated record.